UGGGGAAUAUUGCACAAUGGGGGAAACCCUGAUGCAGCGACGCCGCGUGGGUGAAGAAGUAUUUCGGUAUGUAAAGCCCUAUCAGCAGGGAAGAAAAUGACGGUACCUGAUCAAGAAGCCCGGCUAACUACGUGCC
RNAcentral lists this ribosomal RNA (136 nucleotides) under uncultured bacterium. RNAcentral's name for it is "partial 16S ribosomal RNA". It matches the Rfam family "Bacterial small subunit ribosomal RNA", at positions 355 to 509 of the family's 1533-position model. The record is from RNAcentral.